UACGUAGGUGGCAAGCGUUAUCCGGAAUUAUUGGGCGUAAAGCGCGCGUAGGCGGUUUUUUAAGUCUGAUGUGAAAGCCCACGGCUCAACCGUGGAGGGUCAUUGGAAACUGGAAAACUUGAGUGCAGAAGAGGAAAGUGGAAUUCCAUGUGUAGCGGUGAAAUGCGCAGAGAUAUGGGGGAACACCAGUGGCGAAGGCGACUUUCUGGUCUGUAACUGACGCUGAUGUGCGAAAGCGUGGGGAUCAAACAGGAUUAGA
This 259-nucleotide ribosomal RNA is filed under the name uncultured Staphylococcus sp. Its description in RNAcentral is "partial 16S ribosomal RNA". It matches the Rfam family "Bacterial small subunit ribosomal RNA", at positions 524 to 782 of the family's 1533-position model. Lineage: Bacteria; Bacillati; Bacillota; Bacilli; Caryophanales; Staphylococcaceae. The record is from RNAcentral.